CAUGACAACAUUUUCAUCUUCCUCUUCCUCUUCAGCAUGUCCAUUCUCAGCUUUUGAUGGAGCAUCUAGUGCAGGCGUCGGAGCAGCUGCAGUUUCUGUGGUGUUGAGGGAGGCUAGAUCACCGGUUAGAACCAUCCCUUCUGGCUCUUUCUCUUCGUCAAAAGUAUCCCUGUAUAGUAUCAUAUCACAAAUAAGUCUAUCGAAGUUGAGACAAGACCAUCUAAGCUACACUGUAAUUCAAUCACUACUAUAGUAUCAUGCUUCAUGAAUAAUGAUACCUGUGCUUGACAUGAAGGCUGCAUCGGAAAUCCUGAUGAUAAUCCUCAACCGUCAACACCACACCUGUCGUAAUGGGAGUCGGAUAAUCUACGAACUUCUGCUCCAUCACACAGCGAUUGCAGCUAAGUAAGAACCAGAGGACAGCGAAUCUCGCAAAUUUCAGGCAAGUCCAUGGUCCUUAUUUGCAAAAACAAUGCUGCGCACUGACAAUUGCCUUCUUAUCAAUCAAUAAGAAAAUCUGAAGAUUUGUACAGAGGGUUAGUGUUCUAGAACCUUGUCAAGAAGAGCUCUGUAGUAUGCCACCAUGUCCUCUUCAAUGUCUUCACCUGCCUCGUGUAGAAGAGUUGCACCCUGCAUGAUAACAGGAUCCGUGACACCUAGCUUGCGCUUCACAACCUUCUCGAUCACCUCCCUCAUUGUAGCCGUAGCGGUGUUCAGUUCCAACACUAAUGGCGUCUGGUCUCCCACGUUACCAGCACAUUUCACGAAUAAUCAGUAACUCUUAUUCCCACAUAUCAUCACGAAGUUAUUUGUCUGGUACUAAGAAUCACAACAAGAAGCCAGGUUCGAUAACCAGAAUUAUAGUGCCAACUCCAACCUAAGGUGGAAAAUGCUAGCUUCUUGCAUUUCUCUAGACCGCUAUAACUUUCUAGGGGAUGUUAACAUAACAACAUCUCCACCUCCCAAGUUUUACAGAAGGCAAAGUACCUAGCCUCCAGAACUUGGUCGUAUUAAGCCCCAAGACCCAUUACUGAAAACGAAGAAAAGCCAGGUUCCUACCUCAGAGCAGACAUAGCAACG
Molecule: long non-coding RNA, 1080 nt
Filed under: Physcomitrium patens
Lineage: Eukaryota; Viridiplantae; Streptophyta; Bryopsida; Funariales; Funariaceae
Description: long non-coding RNA (PPAT_LNC014724)
Source: RNAcentral